RNAcentral lists this ribosomal RNA (253 nucleotides) under uncultured bacterium. RNAcentral describes it as "partial 16S ribosomal RNA". It matches the Rfam family "Bacterial small subunit ribosomal RNA", at positions 524 to 776 of the family's 1533-position model. The record is from RNAcentral.
UACGUAGGGUGCGAGCGUUAAUCGGAAUUACUGGGCGUAAAGCGUGCGCAGGCGGUUUUAUAAGCCAGAUGUGAAAGCCCCGGGCUCAACCUGGGAAUGGCAUUUGGGACUGCAAGGCUUGAGUGCGGCAGAGGAGACUGGAAUUCCUGGUGUAGCAGUGAAAUGCGUAGAUAUCAGGAGGAAUACCGAUGGCGAAGGCAGGUCUCUGGGCUGACACUGACGCUCAUGCACGAAAGCGUGGGGAGCAAACAGG